RNAcentral lists this small nuclear RNA (311 nucleotides) under Jaculus jaculus (lesser Egyptian jerboa). RNAcentral's name for it is "7SK RNA (ENSJJAG00000008406.1)". It matches the Rfam family "7SK RNA", at positions 1 to 290 of the family's 331-position model. Rfam says of the family: 7SK was discovered as an abundant small nuclear RNA in the mid-70s but a possible function has only recently been suggested. Two independent studies have found that 7SK RNA binds the CDK9/cyclin T complex (known as elongation factor P-TEFb). The record is from RNAcentral. Lineage: Eukaryota; Metazoa; Chordata; Mammalia; Rodentia; Dipodidae.
GGGCACGAGGGCAAUCUGGCUGCGACAUCUGUCACCCCCUUGAUCAGCUUGAUUCUGGUUGAUUCAGCUGACCUGGCUGGCUAGGCGGGUGUCCCCUUACCCCUCGCCGCUCCAUGUGUGUCCCUCCCAAAGCUGUGUGCUGUGUCACUGAGGACGACCUUCCCCGACUAGAGGAGGAGCGGUCUUUGGUCAAGGGUAUACGGGAAGCUGCACUCCACUGCUAGAACCUCCAAACAAGCUCUCAAAAUACAAUCACUUUUUUUCAAGCCCAGACCAGGGAGGAAGGGAGGGAGGAACAGAGAGAGGAAAGA